ACCAGGAAGUGAUAUGUAAGGUAGGGUCUUGGGUGGGACUGACCACAGUGAAGUGUGAUCAACCAGGGAAGUGAUAUGUAAAGUAGGGUCUUGGGUGGGACUGACCACAGUGAGGUGUCCGAAUCCAUUCGAAUCCCAUCCGAAUGGAGCUACCAUUCUACACAGACGUUUCUACAAUGCAAACAAACCCAACUAAAACACUGAGACAAGUUUACACGCUGUUUAUUAAAGCAUCUUUGUAGCAAUAUGCAUAUAUAAGAAGGGAAUGAGGCGACAAUAAUAUAUCAUUACAACAUAAAACACAGCUGUAAGAAUACAAUUCUGAUUGGAAAAUA
Long non-coding RNA from Haliotis rubra (blacklip abalone), 335 nucleotides. RefSeq lists it as uncharacterized. The transcript has 2 exons. The record is from RefSeq and is a predicted model, not a curated record. Lineage: Eukaryota; Metazoa; Mollusca; Gastropoda; Lepetellida; Haliotidae.